Molecule: ribosomal RNA, 429 nt
Filed under: uncultured eukaryote
Lineage: Eukaryota
Description: bacterial SSU rRNA
Rfam family: Eukaryotic small subunit ribosomal RNA
Source: RNAcentral
CAGCAGCGUAUAUUUAUAUUGCUGCGUUUAAAAAGCUCGUAGUUGAAGCGUCAGACGCGGGAGGACGGACGGCCGCACUGGUCGCUUCUCGUCCGACCGAGCCAGGCGCAGAGGGCGUCCGUCGGUUGCACUUUACCGUGUGAUCGCGGCGUCGCUGCACGUUCACCUUGAAGAAAUUGAACCGCUUAGAGGGGGCGAGCAGCUUGUACAGCUCAGCAUGGUAUGAUGGAACAUGGGCUCGUACUCAUUUUGUUGGUUUUAGAGUUCGCGAGCCAAUGAUUAACAGGGACUGCCGGGGGCAUUCGUACUCGAGCGGGAGAGGUGAAAUUCAAGGAUCGCUCGAAGACGUCCCACUGCGAAAGCAUUUGCCAAGAAUGUUUUCAUUAAUCAAGAACGAAAGUCAGAGGUGCGAAGACGAUCAGAUACCGU